AUUGAACGCUGGCGGUAUGCUUAAGACAUGCAAGUCGAACGGUAACAGGUUAAGCUGACGAGUGGCGGACGAGUGAGUAACGCGUGGGAAUCUACCUUGUAGUGGGGGAUAAGCCAGGGAAACUUGGACUAAUACCGCAUACGCCCUAAGGGGGAAAGGCGCAAGUCGCUAUAAGAUGAGCCCGCGUCUGAUUAGGUAGUUGGUGGGGUAAAGGCCUACCAAGCCGACGAUCAGUAGCUGGUCUGAGAGGAUGAUCAGCCACGUCGGGACUGAGACACGGCCCGGACUCCUACGGGAGGCAGCAGUCGGGAAUAUUGGACAAUGGGGGAAACCCUGAUCCAGCAAUACCGCGUGUGUGAAGAAGGCCUGCGGGUUGUAAAGCACUUUCAGUUGGGAAGAUAAUGACGUUACCAACAGAAG
RNAcentral lists this ribosomal RNA (420 nucleotides) under uncultured bacterium. RNAcentral's name for it is "bacterial SSU rRNA". It matches the Rfam family "Bacterial small subunit ribosomal RNA", at positions 30 to 487 of the family's 1533-position model. The record is from RNAcentral.